GGAGGAUCAUUAAUGAAAUUGACGUCCGGGAAGGGGGUUGUUGCUGGCAGACUAUGCAUGUGCACGCCCCUCUACUGGAAUCGUUUAUCCUUUCUUUCACACCUGUGCACGAUCUGUAGCUGGAGGAUGAUUACGGUGCUCUUGCGACUCCGAAUGCCUCUCGCUAUGAACGCUUUUCAACACACCCUUUAUAAAGUAUUUAUGAACGUCUUUGCACAGCGCGUAACGGCGCGAAUGAAAUACAACUUUCAGCAACGGAUCUCUUGGCUCUCGCAUCGAUGAAGAACGCAGCGAAAUGCGAUAAGUAAUGUGAAUUGCAGAAUUCAGUGAAUCAUCGAAUCUUUGAACGCACCUUGCGCUCCUUGGUAUUCCGAGGAGCAUGCCUGUUUGAGUGUCGUGAAAUUCUCAACUGCUUUGGCUUUGUUCAAAGUGAAGUUGGACUUGGAGGCUUUGUCGAGCUUGCGCGACUCCUCCUAAAUGUAUAAGCCUUUUCUUUGUCAGUCCUCUCGGCGCAAAGUAUCUUUGACGUGAUAACUGUCUACGUCGCAGAGAAAGCCUUGAGCAAAGAGAGCAUUUCGCUUGACGAGGAUGGGGUUCUCCGAAGCCUCACGGCCU
This 615-nucleotide ribosomal RNA is filed under the name Hydnellum peckii (bleeding tooth fungus). RNAcentral's name for it is "eukaryotic LSU rRNA". The stretch from base 244 to 397 matches the Rfam family "5.8S ribosomal RNA". Lineage: Eukaryota; Fungi; Basidiomycota; Agaricomycetes; Thelephorales; Thelephoraceae. The record is from RNAcentral.